RNAcentral lists this unclassified non-coding RNA (204 nucleotides) under Hevea brasiliensis (rubber tree). The record is from RNAcentral. Lineage: Eukaryota; Viridiplantae; Streptophyta; Magnoliopsida; Malpighiales; Euphorbiaceae.
AGAGAGGGCUGAUCUCAGAAAUCAUAUCCCGUUUCGAGAGGAAAGGGUUUAAACUUGUAGGCAUAAAAGUUAUUGUCCCUUCAAAGGAAUUUGCUGAGAAGCAUUAUCACGAUCUGAAGGAAAGACCCUUCUUUAAUGGCCUCUGUGAAUUUCUUAGCUCCGGCCCCGUCAUUGCAAUGGUUUGGGAAGGCGAGGGAGUGAUCA